CAGGAAGAAAAGAAAAGAGGACAAGCCCACCCCCUUUUCCUUAAAACCCUAGCCUAGCACAGUGCCAGGUACCCUGGAAAUGUCAGAAAAUAUGCCUGGAUGUUGUGUAAACACGUCUCCUUAGAGCUUGAGGAAGACACUACACCCUGGAGUGUGAGUUGAAUGGAGCUGACUGAGUGGCCAAUUGUUUUGUUCUUUUAUUUUUUUUAAUUUACAAAUAAUAAUUGCAAAUAUGUAUGGCAUACAGUGUGAAGUUUGAUACAUUUUUACAUUGUAGAAUGAUCAAAUCAGGCUAGUUAACGUAUCCAUCACCUCACAUACUUACCCUUUCUUUGUGGUGAGAACAUUUAAAAUCUACUCCUUUUUAGCAUGCCGCGUUAUUCACAAAAGCCAAGAUACGGAAACAACCUAAGUGGCCAUCAAUAAAUAAAUGGAUGAAGAAAGUGUGGUAUAUGUACACAAUGGUAAACUAUUCAGCCUUAAAACAAAACAAAACAAAACAAAACAAAAAGAAGGAAAUCCUGUCGUUUUCGAAAACGCAGAUGAACCUGGAAGUCAUCGUGCUAAGUGUACUAUUCUUUACCUUAGUUACAGCUCCUGGGGCUUGCAGGGACCCAGUGAGAUAUCUCUGGGGUCAGGAGACUGCUGAGGCUGAUUGGGUCCCAGGCACAGGCCAAACCAAAGCGACCAGAAUUCAGGGUUGAGAGGAAACCCCAGUGGUGGCAAACAAAAUAAAGAUGAUUUUCAGGGUCAAAGGGCAGGGCAAGUCCAGAAAUUGAAACGGAAGCAAUGGAUUUGAAAGCAGCGUGAAACAAAAGUAGUAUGGAAAAUAGCACCGAAUGGGUCAUACCAAGUAGCUCAGAUCCAACCCAUGAAACGGAAGCAAACAGUGAGUUUCCCCUUUAAAGCAGUGCUGGGGACAGGACUAGGCUUAGGGAGACCGCAGGGGAGAUGCUUAGCGUGUUUCCGAAAUGUACCUUUAAUUAUUAAGUGAGACCCGUGCACCAGCCUAUGAGCCAGGGCUCAAAAAAGAUUACUUCACUAUAAGCGCUAGGGAAAAGGGCAAAGCAAACCAGUAGUAUUUUUCAUCUUAUAUAACGCAGUCCCUAGUCAGCCUUAACUACAAGAGAAAUACGGUUUAGGUGUUCCCUUCUGUCAUUCAUGCUUGCUGGAAAAGGAAUCUUUGGUGUUUCUGAAAAAUUGGACACAGCUAAGGAAGCUGUGCACUGGCCAGAAGACACAUUGUGCCAGGGAAUGCUGAAAAGGUGGGACUGUGACCAUCAGCAGACGGUUUGGGGCCUGGGGGUGUCUUGGGUCUGGGUGAGCUCUCUUAGCCCCUUCCUCUGGCUCUUUCACUUCUAAGACAAUGUUGCGGGGAGAUGGCUGUGGCUACAUCCUUGUCUGUGCUCCUCUCUCAAGCCUUGCAUCUUCAUUAUCUGACGGCCGCAGGGAAGGUGUUCUGGCUAAACCAGAAGUUUUUGGUCCAGCUCUUGCUCUUGCUCCCUUGCCUGCCAGGCUAUAGGGAAAUUGGGAAAAUAAAGCAGCCACAGUCAUGCUUGUAUCUGGGUGUUCCACGAGUCCUUGGGGAAAUGGUACCGUGAGAAUACAACGUAGACUUAGAAAAGCACUUCUCAGUUUGCAAAGUUCUUCUAUCUAUCUAUCUUAGUGAGAAGGAAGCUCUCUACACUUAGCAAGUGAGCCAACUAAAGCCCUCCAACAUGCCCCUCCAGGCUCAUUAGAGACUACACUCCCCUAGCACACACUAGGGACCAGCUAUAGUAACUUUCCCCUGUUCCUUGAGCACUCCAAACUCAUGCCUCCUCAAGGCCUUGGCAGCUCCUGUUCCCCACUCCUGGAAAGUGCUUCCCUCGGCUAUUCACAUGCUAGCUCCUUCUUUUCCCUCAAGUCUCAGCUCAAAUGUCAUCUUCUCAGAAAGCCUUCCGUGUUCACUCUCAAUCAAGUAACCCCACUUCCUUCAGAAUAAAAAGCACUAAAAUUCAAAGCCAGACCAUUCUUCUUGUGAAGGAAUGGGAGGGCCAUUGGGAAAGAACCCAAUGGUGAGAUCCAAUGGGAAAACUUUUUAGUCGUUUUUAACCUUAUAAAGUAAGAGUGAAUUUCCCAGUUACACGGUCACAAAAAUUUGAAAACUGAUCAUCUAUAAUUGCCUAAAUUAGCACUGGGCGCCACCUUGAUGGAUAAGUGAGUCCCACUUCUGAAUGGCAUGAGGGCAGUAGUGUGUGCAUCCCCUGGAUGCUCCUACCUAAUGGCAUAGGGUGCUGACAGAGAGGCGGCAGAUAGCAUGAAGCUAGUGGAGGAGGCUUGUGAGGAAUGUUCUGAUUAAUUCUUGCAAGAACACUUUGUCUGAGACCAAGAAUUCUGUGAUGAGUUAGGUGGGAGAACUUUUAGGCUGUUGCCUGAAGAACGUGGUUUUAGUAUUCUAAGGGUGGUGGUUGUAAUCCGGAAUCCUCUCCCACAUAGCCAGGGUGGAGAGCAAGCAAAGGGAGACUCUUUGUCUCAGCAUUUAUCCUACAUACUUGCAUUUAUCACAAAACAUCCACGUUCAGUGGUGAACUCCUACCUCCUGGCCACCCAUACAGGUCCUCCAUGCCGUGCCUUUUACAUGUGUGCACAAAAGAGAGAGCCCAUCAGGUCCCUAGAAAGAGCUAACAGCUGAAGAGAGGAACAUGCACUGGAUUGAGAGUCAGAGGACUGGGCUUGGAUUCUAAAUCCACACCUUCCUCGCUGAGUUAUUUAAGCAAACCAUGUUAGCCCUCUGAGCAUCACUUUCCUCACCUAUAGAACAAGGGCUUGAAUCUAACCUUAAUCUGCAAUUCUAGAUUGCUCAAAGAACAAAUGAGAUAAUAUACUCAAAAGUCCAAGGUAAUCUGUAAAGAACUACACCAAUAUGGGAUUCAAAAAACAAUUCUACUUAAUAAAAAAAAAGAGUGCCAAAGAGUUUCUGAAGAUACACAAAUAAUCUCUUUCCUUUAAGAGCCCCUGGCGAUUUGGUAGCACUGUAUGAUAAUCAGUAGCAGCAUCAAUUUUACAAAAAGACUCACACUGGGAUACCUGUGAAUAAGAGACCUCCUCGAAGUUUUGAGAAUGAUUUGGUUUGGAAAUAUUCAGAAGCUCUAUUCACCCUAUAUCCCUAGAUGCAUCAAUUGAGCAUGGUUCUAUCGUUAUAAGUGUAUUCUUUGUUUGUCCUUUUAUUUGAUAGUUGGCCUUCUGCCUUCCUUCCACCUCCCCAACCAUCUGGGAGCUGUAUUUGUUAGAAAGUUAUGACUCUUCAAUCAGUAACUACCACUUAUUGACUUUCUAGAAGGUGCUGAGCAAAGUACUAGCAGUUUUCAUUCGUUAUAGCUUAUCCUUGCAAUGACCUAGAAGGUGAGUACUACAUGUAUCUCCAUUUUACAUAAAAGGACACUUGUCUCAGAGAAGUUAAGUGACUUUGCCAGGGUCACACAGUGCUGAAGUGACACAGCAGGCUAUUUUGGCUCCUAAGCCCUCAUUUUAUCCACUGCCUGGGAAAGACAGCAGGGUUUCCUACCAACACAGUGUCUUCUGCUUCCUCUACCAUAGACUUGUUCAUGAAGUGCUAUCAUACUCUCCCACCCAUCCCCGGCUCCUCUUUGCCAGUGGCUCCAGGCCCAGACCCAUGCAGCCUUCCACGCAGCCCGUUCUGACUUCCUCUGAAGUCAGCCAUCCAAGUAAAGUUCACUUGAAGCAGAACCGCAGGAGUUUCCACUCCGCAGAGGACUCCAGUCUUGCCAAGUUCUCCACCAGCCAGGCUCCUGGAGGUGAUGAUCCUGAAUUGAUUGGGUAUUCAGCUAAUUAUUUUGGAGAGGAAUUGACAUAAGGUUUGGAUGUAUUGCACCACUGACCUUUAGCAACAACGAGGCCAAGGCUACAGGAAUAGCAGUGAACCCUAAUUUAGGCUUGCAUCUGCCAGGCAAAGAAAACAUGCUGCCAGGAGAAAGCAGUAGAUGGUUUAAUCUUCCAAGAGGUCUUCCUGAAGAACAUUUUAUUCCAUUUCUUAAUGAAAUUGCCCAAAUUUUGGAUUUAUCCUGCAGUUCCAGAGGCUCAGAAACCUGAUUUGAUCAGCCUCCAAGAGCUGUUCCUUCUCUCCUACACACCAACAGUAAUCUCCUGGAAGCUGUAUUACUCAGAUGUUACUAUACAGUGAGAUUAAGAAGCUACCAGCACAUGAACGUGGAAUCCUCACAUUGGCCCAGCCAAGGCAUUCUCUCACCCUGGCUGCAGUGCUUGAGAUGUCACGUUCACACUCUGAAGGUUGCCAGAUUUAAGAUCUGUGGUUGGAUUAAGAUCAGCUGACUCUCACCGACCUGGGAGCCAUCCUGUCUCCUCACUAAUCCUCUUGUCCCUAUCUUAAACUUUAACUCUCAGAGGAUAAUUUUGUCACAUUUCCAAGGUCUCUCAAGGAGUUCCUUGUGAUCCUGCGUACUGGUAACAAUGGUUCUCCUUAAAAAUAGUCUGCUACAGUGAAAUGAACAUAAAAAUCUAUAGUCUAGAAACCCAAGUUAAAAAUAAACUCAGACGCUUUGACUUUGAUAAAAUGAACGUCAUCAUCUGUUAAAUGAGAAUGAAAUGCUAAUAACUACUCCUCCAGCAUAGCGGCAAGGGUCAAGUGAGGUCAGGAGUGUUGUCUACCCCAUACAACAUGUUAGGCAUUAUUUUUCUUCUUCUUAUAGUCUGGGAAUAAGAAAGACACAAUUUGACUCUCAUUAAAGCAGUUUGUAAUUGACGCAAGCAGAAAAACCACCUUUCAAAUAUGAGACAGGAUGAAACACUCAGCCACUAAGGAGCUGUCCUCUUCCAGACCAUCCACAUCUCUUUUGUAUCUGAAAUACUGGCCCCAGAAUUCCCUAGAGGAUAUGUCUGAGGAAACAUUUGGAUGAAUUUCCUAAAGACCCGUCUGGGGAGAGGUUCAAUGUUUUUGCCCCAUCUUGCAUAUAAACUUGAAGUUUCAGUGAUAUGAAAGCCAAGAAUUGGGUGGAGAUUCAACCAGAAAAUAGCCAGACUUUCUAGAUACCAGAAGGAGUUCACUUGGGGUUGGACUGAUUUAGCCAUCAUGUAGUAGCAGACACAUGGAUUUUUUUUAAUGAGUACUAACCAGCCCACUCCUCGUAGAGUAUGAACAGUAUUUGGCAAAUGAAUCUACCAGCUAGAUGGUCAUCAUCUGGGGUCAGCUUGAAAGUGGCCACCCAAAAAAAAAAAAAAAAAAAAAAAAAACGCGAGGUCCUUGCAAAAUAACAGCUGUUUUUAACUGCAGAAUGGUAUGCUGUUGAAACCAAAGCAGAUGUUGUCUUAUAGCUUUUUCAUUCUAUGACCAGCAUUGACUCUGAUGCCUCAUACUUCCUAACAUUGCUUCAGCAAGAUAGAUCUUGUGACCAUAAUCCCCUGGUGCCAAGAUCAUUUUCUGUCUUCUUAUCUUUGCUCAUCCUGUUAUCUGUCAACAAUUAGCAGGGAAGGAGGGAACACAGUGUCUUAUCUAUAAAUCCCUAGUAUCUAGCAUGGUAUCUAGGGCAAGAAGUAGCUUGAGUGUUGGGUGGGUGAAUGAGUCAGUGAAUGAAUAAAUGGCAAGUAAACAAAUGACUAAAUUAGUGAAUGAAUAAAUGGCAAGUAAACAAAUGACUAAAUUAGUGAAUGAAUAAAUUAAUAGAAGCCUGUGCUUUCCUUCCUCAAAUAUAAACUAAU
This 5715-nucleotide long non-coding RNA is filed under the name Homo sapiens (human). RNAcentral's name for it is "HSALNT0007278". The record is from RNAcentral. Lineage: Eukaryota; Metazoa; Chordata; Mammalia; Primates; Hominidae.